UACGUAGGGGGCAAGCGUUGUCCGGAUUUAUUGGGCGUAAAGAGCGUGUAGGCGGCCAAGCAGGUCCGCUGUGAAAACUCGAGGCUCAACCUCGAGACGUCGGUGGAAACCGUUUGGCUAGAGUCCGGAAGAGGAGAGUGGAAUUCCCGGUGUAGCGGUGAAAUGCGCAGAUAUCGGGAAGAACACCCGUGGCGAAGGCGGCUCUCUGGGACGGUACUGACGCUGAGACGCGAAGGCGUGGGGAGCGAACAGG
Molecule: ribosomal RNA, 253 nt
Filed under: uncultured bacterium
Lineage: Bacteria
Description: partial 16S ribosomal RNA
Rfam family: Bacterial small subunit ribosomal RNA
Source: RNAcentral